UUUAAACGACCGUUGGUUAAACGAACGUUACUUAAACGACCGUUAGCGACCGUUAGCCAACGUUAGCCUUCCCGUACGGCUUGUUGUUGGUGUGACCGAGGAGGAGGAGGAGGAGGAGCGGCUAACUGUCAGACGUUUCACCCUCUCAAAAUGUACGCCAUAUCGUCACACAGCGAACACAAGAGUAGAAACACAGCAGAGUGAUGAGGAGCAGUGGAGCCACCACGGCCAGGCAGAUUAUCACGGGAAACGGGAGACGACUGGAUGCUGGAUGUCCAUGUGCCAGAUAAGUCUAAUCCUGCCAAACUCCGGUGUCCAGCAGCAGGUGAUGGUUACUGUCUCCCCCUCCAUGACGGAGACAUCAGGACUAUGGGUAACAACAAGUGUAGAUGAAACACCUAUGAAGAGACAGAGUGAUACAUG
This is a long non-coding RNA of Sebastes umbrosus (honeycomb rockfish), 423 nucleotides long. RefSeq lists it as uncharacterized. The record is from RefSeq and is a predicted model, not a curated record. The transcript has 4 exons. Lineage: Eukaryota; Metazoa; Chordata; Actinopteri; Perciformes; Sebastidae.